Molecule: ribosomal RNA, 433 nt
Filed under: uncultured bacterium
Lineage: Bacteria
Description: partial 16S ribosomal RNA
Rfam family: Bacterial small subunit ribosomal RNA
Source: RNAcentral
AACGAACGCUGGCGGCAUGCCUAACACAUGCAAGUCGAACGAGACCUUCGGGUCUAGUGGCGCACGGGUGCGUAACGCGUGGGAACCUGCCCUUAGGUUCGGAAUAACUCCCCGAAAGGGGUGCUAAUACCGGAUAAUGUCUUCGGACCAAAGAUUUAUCGCCUUUGGAUGGGCCCGCGUUGGAUUCGCUGGUUGGUAGGGUAAAAGCCUACCAAGGCGACGAUCCAUAGCUGGCCUGAGAGGAUGAUCAGCCACACUGGGACUGAGACACGGCCCAGACUCCUACGGGAGGCAGCAGUGGGGAAUAUUGGACAAUGGGCGAAAGCGUGAUACAGCAAUGCCGCGUGAGUGAUGAAGGCCUUAGGGUUGUAAAGCUCUUUUACCCGGGAUGAUAAUGACAGUACCGGGAGAAUAAGCUCCGGCUAACUCCGUG